Molecule: long non-coding RNA, 220 nt
Organism: Oncorhynchus keta (chum salmon)
Lineage: Eukaryota; Metazoa; Chordata; Actinopteri; Salmoniformes; Salmonidae
Exons: 3
Source: RefSeq, a predicted model, not a curated record
UGUUCUGUCUGUUCUGUUCCAGGUGACAGUGUCUGUUCUGUUCCAGGUGUUAGUGUCUGUACUGUUCCAGGUGAUAGUGUCUGUUCUGUCUGUUCUGUUCCAGGUGAUAGUGUCUGUUCUGUCUGUCCUGUUCCAGGUGAUAGUGUCUGUUCUGUUCCAGGUGAUAGUGUCUGUCCUGUUCCAGGUGAUAGUGUCUGUUCUGUUCCAGGUGAUAGUGUCU